UUUCCGUAGGUGAACCUGCGGAAGGAUCAUUCAUAAUAAGUGUUUUACUGCACUUUUUAAAAAUAGUACUCACCUUGUGUGCAGUGUUGUGUUUCUUUUCGGAGAAACACCUACACCAACCUAUAACCUUGAACCACUUUGUCUGAAAAACUAUUAUGAAUACUUAAUUCAAAAUACAACUUUCAACAACGGAUCUCUUGGCUCUC
Molecule: unclassified non-coding RNA, 206 nt
Filed under: plant metagenome
Description: partial contains small subunit ribosomal RNA, internal transcribed spacer 1, and 5.8S ribosomal RNA
Source: RNAcentral